AAUAACACAAGCAUACUAUUAGGAAUGAAUAUCAAACAUGAGCAAUGGAGAUACACAUUAUUUGCUUAUAUGGUCAUCGCAACAAAAAUAUUUUCUAGUGCUUAUGUUCAGAACUGUUUGUAGACCUGCAUCAUCACAACCAAAUGUGCUACAAUACAUUUGGAAGCAAUCUGCUAACUUUUAAGAACUGGGGACAACAAAAGGAGUACAUGAUAACCACUUGGUGCUGCUAUUUUCAUGGUAUUGUCUAAGCUAGUAUGAAAAGUAUUUGUCCUAAAAAAUUAAUGUACAAGGAUGAUAACUUUGCCACAUCACCACGUGAGAAAAGAGCAAGCAUAGCUUGUGUAAUGCACUGCUUAGAGAACCUGAUCUGGGCUAUAGGUUAGACCGUUCUCCUCUGCAUAUCAAUAAACAAACAACAAGGAAGUCAAUUAGACUACUUAUUCAAUAUGGCUAUUCCAAAAACGAGAAAUUCAUCUACGUGCACGCACCCGGAAGCUUGUUGUUGAUAGCCUUCAUCGGCUCCAUACUCUCGGCAUUAGCGGGGUACCUUGUCUAACUUGCUACAACUACAACACACAUGCAUGUAGAAUGUAUUACCCUACAAUCUACUCUCAAGUCUCAAUGAUACAAAGGGAAACCUGAGGCAUAAGAAUCCCAUCCUCGCUGACAACAUUACAUUCCCUCUUUGGUUCAGUUUUUCGUACUCACUCUAACGAAGGAUAUACACUCCAACAGUUAUUAAUAAAGGACAUUUCAGAUGGUAUAGUCUGCAACAUUCAAGAUUACACUUCACAUGAAUAUGUUAAUAAAAAUAAUGAAUUAUGAAAUAAUCAACACCAUGUGGGCGAAAUAAAUCAAUGGCACGAUCAGUUUCCCAUUUUUUGCAAAUUGAAGAAAUGACAACAUUGUAAAACACUACACCAGACCUUGCCGCGGCAUCUCGGAUACUGUCAAGUGUCAAGCAUCUGAAUAAAUCAUGGUGCUUAUACUUUCAUGUAUACUCAAGUCCUUUGCUAACCUGGUAAAUAAAAUAAAAUAAAAUAAACCUUGUGCUAAAAACUAUUGACUUCUUAUGUACCCAAAGUGGAAAACCAAAAAAACAAAAAAGGGCUAGCAGUCAUGAGUUCACAACACAUCACGCCUAGUUGUCUAAAUGUUUAUGUCACAAAAGACUGUAGAAGUGUGUUGUUACGAAGAAGUAAAUGGAAUCACAAAAGCAAAAGCACAAGUGCUUGACAGCUUCAUUUAUCCAUGAGUGAUUGCAAAGUUGCCCCACUCUAAUAUAUGAGACAAGAGAGAUCUACAGAAAAAAAGACAGUACAGAACUUGCUUCUGAACUUAACAUUGUAGACCAUAGAUCUAAUUUGGAAGUCCAAAGUCUAAACACAAUAGUCAAAAGGAAGAAAUGGCUAUACAAAAAUGGUACAUACAUAAUUUGCUUAUCCAGUACAGAGAUCCCCUUAAAAUAGCAAAUGGCCUCGUAUUGCAAACUAACCUUUCUUAUCUAGUACAGAAAAUUCAUGGGAAAAUAAUAUUUACCAAAUACAUAAACCUAGACUACACUACGAGAUCAACAUGAGCAUCGGAUGGAUAUAGUAAAUUACCAUUCAUAGUAGUUGGGAACCAUUGAAGAUAGUAAAUUACCUCAUGACAUACUUGAGCAACGCGUAUAAAUCUCCUAUAGUCAAGCAGAAGGAGUAAUUUAGGUGCCCGUACAGUGAUCGCAACCCUCCACGUGAUUUAGGACAGAAGAAUCUAUCCAUGUAGAUGACAAGAGUACUAAUCAAAAGGGAGACGAAAGGCAAUCUGUAAGAUAUAAUUCCCAGAUCACAUAGCAAACAAAUGUUGCAUGAUUAAUUUAGUUAACCCCUUACCAUCACACAUCUCUACUUGUCUUCCUCGCCAUCUCCAUUAGCACAUCCCAUGCGAUCGAACAAACCAUUUAGCAGAG
RNAcentral lists this long non-coding RNA (1954 nucleotides) under Triticum aestivum (bread wheat). RNAcentral describes it as "long non-coding RNA (TAES_LNC012535)". The record is from RNAcentral. Lineage: Eukaryota; Viridiplantae; Streptophyta; Magnoliopsida; Poales; Poaceae.